Molecule: transfer RNA, 73 nt
Filed under: Bos taurus (domestic cattle)
Lineage: Eukaryota; Metazoa; Chordata; Mammalia; Artiodactyla; Bovidae
Also listed under: 3 other names
Rfam family: tRNA
About the family: Transfer RNA (tRNA) molecules are approximately 80 nucleotides in length.
Source: Rfam by way of RNAcentral
UCCCUGGUGGUCUAGUGUUUAAGACAUUGCACUUACAUUGUAGGGGAUACAAGUUCGAACCUUAGUCCAGGAA